Rhincodon typus (whale shark) is the source of this 597-nucleotide long non-coding RNA. RefSeq lists it as uncharacterized. The record is from RefSeq and is a predicted model, not a curated record. Lineage: Eukaryota; Metazoa; Chordata; Chondrichthyes; Orectolobiformes; Rhincodontidae. The transcript is spliced from 2 exons.
UCUCAGGCUAAGUCGAUGAGCCUCUCUUUAGUUUCUUUUGUUUGACUUUACACUUUGCUUUACUUUUCCUUUUAGCUACACAAUGUACAUUUCUUUCUCCUUUUGUUUGUUUUUCUCAAACUACCUUUCAACUUAUAACAUGUUUGCCUUUGAUUUUUUUAAAAGAUGUCUUUCAUUUUCUACUUUCCUCCUUCUUUCUGUCAACCCUUUGUAAACAUCUCUAUCACUUCCUUGUGUCAAACAUGCUCUCAUCUGUGAAUUAUCACUUUAUAGGGUCUUACAAACUUCUCAGGAAAGUUAAACAUUUGCACUACAAAAAUGGCAAACUGCUUAUUCCUGGUUUGGUGACCAACAUGUGAGGAGACCUGAAAGAUGUGCCAGAACUGGAACAAGCAAGCUGUCACUGUGUUAUAAGUACCAGUCCUUGACACCUGAGACUGGAAUGUUUUCAAUUAUAUAAUAUUAAAAUCUGUAACUUGAGGUAUUCCACCUAAAGACUUGCACCGUCUUCAAAGGCAGAAUAGCUAUGUGUAUGGCUAAAGGCUGUCAACUAAAGGCAUGAAAUUACUAAAAAAAAACUAAAUAAGACUAUUAUUA